Schizosaccharomyces pombe (fission yeast) is the source of this 1422-nucleotide non-coding RNA. Lineage: Eukaryota; Fungi; Ascomycota; Schizosaccharomycetes; Schizosaccharomycetales; Schizosaccharomycetaceae. The record is from the annotation of a GenBank genome assembly.
UGAAAAAAUUUUUUACGUGCUAAAUAAAAGCCAAUUAUAUGGUAUUAAGCAUCUUGAUGGAUUGCAAUAAAUUUGAAUACGCACCGUUUUAUCUGAUGUAAAAGCUGUUCUAAUUUAUUCUUUAAUGAAUUAUAUAUUUGUAUAUGGACAGAUAGUAAGACUCGCUCCAUGGAUUGCAAGGCACGUGAGUUCCGUGGAUGUUGAUAGUGCAAAAUAAUUAGAAGUUUUACAUCGGGUAAAAAUUUACUUGCAACCUUAUUAUCGUGCACUUAUUUGGCAGAUUGGACUUUACUAUUGAUUUGACAGACCCUUCUCUAACGUGUUAUAGCCGGAAAGUUCGGCUUAGGAACACUUGCCGGUAAGUAUACUAUUCAACAUAGCAAAGCCCUAAAGAAAAUCUCACUAAAACCAAGUAAAAUAAAACAAGUUAAAAAAAAAAUAGCUAAAGACAUCGUGACAAAUUGAAUAAUAUGUUUCAUGAAAUUUUUGUGUCAAAUGAUAUUGAUCAAAAUGUGAUACCGACUAAGUCAAUCUUCAUUUAUGUGUAUAUGUGUGUGUAAUUUUUUUAAUUUUUUUUCCUACUGACCCAAUGCGCUCUUUUUCCUAUUUGAUGGCCGAAAAUUUAAUUUCACAAAUUUUGCUUCCAUUUUCUUGUGACUUUACCAUCAGAACUAGUGAGUAACGAAAUAUGCUAAGUUUUGGAUAGGAGGAAAUUUUACUAGUACGAAAAAAUCUCGACUUUCCUCCAUUAGCUGAACAAAGAAAUAUGCUUUUCCCAAUCCGUAUGCGGUUGAUGUAACGGAAUGUGUAAGGGAAAUGACUAUCUUUUAAUUUAAAUCUAUUUUACGUUUAUCACACUGACUACUCGGCUAUGAAGGGGAGAGAAUGUAAUAGCGAUAAAAUUUUCAAAUGUAUUUCAAUUACUUAGAAAAGAUAUUCAGUAUCCUUUUUCUUUUUUGAAAGCAUACAAAUCAUAAAUAAAAACUCAUAUUGUUCAUAUACUGUUUGUCACAUAACCCUUCGUAUUACUAAUACAAACAACGAUAAUUCAAGCCUUAGUAAUUAACCUAGCGUUGCCAAAUAUCAACAAUACAAAGUUCCGAAUUGCCCUUGUAAAUACGGAUCUGCAAACUGGGAAUUUGAGAGAAACAGCAAAGAGCAUAUACAAGUUUGCCAUUGGGAAUACAGGUGAGCUCCGACUCGUUCUUUAAAGAAAGCUAUUCAGAAAGUGAUUUUGAAAUCCGAAAUAUCUUCUCAUACGUCUCUGUAUAGGUCUUCCUCAGUCACAUUUGGAUAUCAAAUCAUUCAUCGCAUCUCAUCAUCAUUAUUCCUAUAGAUCCCAUUUUUACUUAUACCACACUUUGUCCUUUCUUUAUCCUUAAUACAUUCAUCCGUGGCUGCGCAAAACCAGUCACUGCCGCU